Molecule: non-coding RNA, 197 nt
Organism: Syntrophaceae bacterium CG2_30_58_14
Lineage: Bacteria; Pseudomonadati; Thermodesulfobacteriota; Syntrophia; Syntrophales; Syntrophaceae
Source: Rfam
UUAACCGGACUGCCGAGGGUUUCCCUUCUCGGCGGCCAUUCGCCAGGUCAGGGAAGCCGGUGGGAAUCCGGCGCUGCCCCGCAACUGUAAGCGGAACGAAAUCCGAGGGAAGCCCACUGGUCUCUUGAAGACCGGGAAGGCGCGGAGAGUAGGCAUGAGCCGCGAGCCAGGAUAUUUGACCGGCGGAUGAAGACACC